AAGUCGUAACAAGGUUUCCGUAGGUGAACCUGCGGAAGGAUCAUUACCAAAAUGGAUGUGAUACCAAGCACGCGCAUGUAGGUUUAUAGGGGUUAAUUCAUUAACUUCGCAAGUAGCGAAUAACGUAUGUUAAUCGACUUGUCCUGGAGGUGACGCGUCUCCCCUUCCGAGGGGGAAGCUUUGGCCUGCGGGUAUUGAGGUAUGAUGCGGGUGAAACGGUACGUGACGAUUGGCUCAGGCCGAUUGGGGGUACGCGUGCUAGCCUGCUGAUCCGCCUCGUCCGGGGUUGAGGUACUCUAAGAAAAACAUUUUGUGCACCUGUACUACCCGAUUCAUGAAUAUGGCCUUAUGAUUUCACUGAUCCUUUUUGGGGAUUAGUUGAAUAAUAAUACAUAAAUAA
This 400-nucleotide unclassified non-coding RNA is filed under the name plant metagenome. RNAcentral describes it as "partial contains small subunit ribosomal RNA and internal transcribed spacer 1". The stretch from base 1 to 46 matches the Rfam family "Eukaryotic small subunit ribosomal RNA", at positions 1786 to 1831 of the family's 1831-position model. The record is from RNAcentral.